GGCUCAGACGGUAAAGCAUCUGCCUGCAAUGCGGGAGAUCCAGGUUCGAUUCCUGG
RNAcentral lists this transfer RNA (56 nucleotides) under Bos taurus (domestic cattle). It matches the Rfam family "tRNA", at positions 9 to 63 of the family's 71-position model. From Rfam's summary of the family: Transfer RNA (tRNA) molecules are approximately 80 nucleotides in length. Their secondary structure includes four short double-helical elements and three loops (D, anti-codon, and T loops). Lineage: Eukaryota; Metazoa; Chordata; Mammalia; Artiodactyla; Bovidae. The record is from Rfam by way of RNAcentral. RNAcentral also lists the same sequence under 1 other name.